CUGUACCCAAAGUUCAGUGACCUCAGCAGAAAGGCCCAAGAACAGCAGACCUUUCUUCCAUUUUGGACCUUGGGAGAGGAUGUCUGUCAGGCCUCAUCACCCCAACUACUACCUGAGUUCCAGACUCUACUGAAGCUCACCCUUGCUGGAUUUCAUGAAGAAAACUGCCAUACGGAGAUGUCCACAUGCCAAGGAACUGAGGAUGGCCUCUGGCAGACAGCCCAUGAGCACAAGGAAUUGAAUCCUGCCAACAAUGAUAUUAGCUUGCAAAUAUAUCCUUCCCCAGUUAAGCCUCAAAUGAGACUCCAGUCCUGGCUGACACCUUGAUUGCAGCCUUGUAAGACCCUGAAGCAGAGAAUCCAGAUAAGCCAUACCCAGAUUCCUGAUACACAGAAAAUGAAAUAAUAAAUGUGUGUUGUUUUAAGCUGCUAA
This 432-nucleotide long non-coding RNA is filed under the name Equus caballus (horse). RNAcentral describes it as "lncRNA (ENSECAG00000057125.1)". The record is from RNAcentral. Lineage: Eukaryota; Metazoa; Chordata; Mammalia; Perissodactyla; Equidae.